AUUAUGUCUGUAUAGGGCUCCUGCCAAAGCACAGGUAAGUGUCCCAGGAAGGGAUAAGGGCCCCCACGUAACAGCCGAGGACGACACCAGUGGGGCAGCUCGUUAAAGGGGGAGAAACAGACCAGGGCCCUCAGCUUUGGGAGGUCAGGUGCCAGCCCUAUUUCUACCCCUAUUGGGGGCUCAAGUGGGGGUCCUGGGCAUGUGGGAGAUACAGAACACUGGUGCUUGACAAAGGGAGGGUGUGUGUGUGUCGUGGGGCUCAGUUUCCGCACACGCCCUUGUGAGCCGGGCUGGCUUUGACGAAGCGGCUGUUCCCUCGUUUAGCUGGAAGAGGGCUAAGCGUUCAAGGUUCAAGCCAUCACUACGUUUGAAAUGAAAAACCUGCAGAACAAAAAAGGUGGUGGUAAUAAGGAAGGGGCUAGUGAUCGUUGCGAAUUCGCCGCGUGCUUGAUAUACAGUUUCCCACUUCAGCCUUCCGGCCGCCUGGUGCAGGAGACACGAUCGGAUCGUUAGCAUCUGUGCACAGGGAGGGAAUGAGAAGGGGCGUGUGAAUGUGGCUGUGGUCACGGGCUGGUGGGGGCAGGUCCUAAAUCCCGGAGCAGCCUCGUUCCCACGAGCUGUGCUGUGUCUCUGCUGCUGGAAGAUUUAAACCAGGAUUUGGGCACAAUCUGAGUGAUUGCCUCUAUACUAAGUGUCUUCUGGGAGUUUCCCUUCAUGGCAUUGUGGGUAUAGUGAACGAGGAGCGAGCAAAACAGGUCUGUUCUUCCCCUGAGUUCUGGACCCGUAAAAGCCCAGGUGAGAAUCCUGGAAAAAACAUUUCCCACUUGCCUAAAUGUGGAGAAAUGUUAAGCCUUGCCAUUCCUCAGUUUCCACACCUGUAAACGAGAUCAUGAUGGUCCCCACUUGGUUGGGUUUACGGGAAGCUUACAUGAGUAACGCGCUCUGGAAAUAGGAACAGGAACACAGAACGAGUUUAUUGGCACUUUCUAUAAUUAGUGGUUAGUGUGGGCAGAGUAAGUGGAAAUUUUGGAAUAGGUUAAACAUUUCUGCAGACCUUUUAAGAUUCCCUGGAUGACCGGAUCACCUGCGGCCCUUCCCACCUGACCGCAGAGAACUCUGAACAAGAGGGUAGCUGAUCUUCAUCAUGGUAUUAUUUAUAAGCUUACCUGAAGACUUCCCUCCUUAGCUAUUUCGUCCUGGCCCACCCCUUCGCUCACUGUGUGACCAUGAACCGGACCUCAGGAUUCCGUCCCAGACCUCAGGAUUCUCAAAGAGACAACGGCGAGUCCUUCUACCUGCCCGCGGGAUUGUUACCAGGAUUAAACGACUUACUGUAAGUCAAGUGCUUAGAGCAGUGCCUGAUUCAUGUUAAGCAAUUGCUAAAUCUUAGCUAUCAUCGUUCUCAUCACUCUUCUUUUUAUUAUUUCCCUUAAAGAACUAUCUGGGGGCACCUGGGUAGCUCAGUUGGUUGAACUGAGUCCGACUUGUGAUUUUGGCUCAGGUCCUAAACUCAGGAGUCAUGGGAUCAAGCCCCAAGUCAGGCUCCGUGCUCAGCGGCAGCCUGCUUGAAGGUUUCCCCCCUCCCCUCGCUCUCCUCUUCCUUUCUCUCUAAAAUGAAUAAAUAAAAAUCAUUAGAGAUAAAGAACUGAGACAUACGGGUGGCCCAGCAGUUGAGCGCCUGCCUUUGGCUCAGGGGACCCCGAGGUCCCAGGGGUCGAGCUCCCUGCAGGGAGCCUGCCUCUCCCACUGCCUGUGUCUCUGCCUCUCUCUUUGUGUGUCUCAUUAAUAAAUAAGAUCUUUGAAAAAACAACAACAACAAAAAGAACUAUCUGAGAAUGAACCACGACAUAGAGUGUGACUCACAUACUGUCAAGGUUGGUUCUAACAUGCAGUGUCCUUUAUAC
Molecule: long non-coding RNA, 1904 nt
Filed under: Canis lupus familiaris (dog)
Lineage: Eukaryota; Metazoa; Chordata; Mammalia; Carnivora; Canidae
Description: lncRNA (ENSCAFG00030004893.1)
Source: RNAcentral